CAGUAGCCGCGGGAAUACGGAGGGUGCAAGCGUUACUCGGAAUUACUGGGCGUAAAGCGUGCGUAGGUGGUGGUUUAAGUCCGUUGUGAAAGCCCUGGGCUCAACCUGGGAAUUGCAGUGGAUACUGGGUCACUAGAGUGUGGUAGAGGAUAGUGGAAUUUCCGGUGUAGCAGUGAAAUGCGUAGAGAUCGGAAGGAACAUCUGUGGCGAAGGCGACUAUCUGGGCCAACACUGACACUGAGGCACGAAAGCGUGGGGAGCAAACAGGAUUAGAUACCCGGGUAGUCCCUGUCUCUUAUAC
This 301-nucleotide ribosomal RNA is filed under the name uncultured bacterium. RNAcentral's name for it is "partial 16S ribosomal RNA". It matches the Rfam family "Bacterial small subunit ribosomal RNA", at positions 509 to 807 of the family's 1533-position model. The record is from RNAcentral.